UCAGAUUGCAGUCUGCAACUCGACUGCAUGAAGUCGGAAUCGCUAGUAAUCGCGGAUCAGCAUGCCGCGGUGAAUACGUUCCCGGGCCUUGUACACACCGCCCGUCACACCAUGAGAGUCGGAAAUGCCCGAAGUCAGUGACCCAACCGUAAGGAGGGAGCUGCCGAAGGUGGAGCCGGUAACUGGGGUGAAGUCGUAACAAGGUAUC
This 208-nucleotide ribosomal RNA is filed under the name uncultured bacterium. Its description in RNAcentral is "partial 16S ribosomal RNA". It matches the Rfam family "Bacterial small subunit ribosomal RNA", at positions 1293 to 1500 of the family's 1533-position model. The record is from RNAcentral.